This 408-nucleotide ribosomal RNA is filed under the name uncultured bacterium. RNAcentral's name for it is "partial 16S ribosomal RNA". It matches the Rfam family "Bacterial small subunit ribosomal RNA", at positions 28 to 526 of the family's 1533-position model. The record is from RNAcentral.
GACGAACGCUGGCGGCGUGCUUAACACAUGCAAGUCGAACGAAGUGGCGAACGGGUGAGUAAUGCGUAAUCAACCUGCCCUUCAGAGGGGGACAACAGUUGGAAACGACUGCUAUUACCGCAUACUGAAUGAGGGGAUUGAGUGUGAUUAGCUCGUUGGGGGGGUAACGGCCCACCAAGGUGAUGAUAAGGAGCCGGUCUGAGAGGAUGAACGGCCACAUUGGGACUGAGACACGGCCCAGACUCCUACGGGAGGCAUCAGUGGGGAAUCUUCCGCAAUGGACGAAAGUCUGACGGAGCAACUCCGCGUGAGUGAUGACGGCCUUCGGGUUGUAAAGCUCUGUUAAUCGGGACGCGGUACCGGAAUAGAAAGCCACGGCUAACUACGUGCCAGCAGCCGCGGUAAUAC